GUGGUAAUGCCGAAUGUUCCACAUGCUCGCAUGGGUGUGUGGGAAAACGUUUUAGUGCUAUGCGAUGGGAUCGCGUCCUAUCAGCUUGUUGGUGGGGUAGUGGCCUACCAAGGCUUCGACGGGUAGCCGGCCUGAGAGGGCGACCGGCCACAUUGGGACUGAGAUACGGCCCAGACUCCUACGGGAGGCAGCAGUGGGGAAUAUUGCACAAUGGGGGGAACCCUGAUGCAGCGACGCCGCGUGCGGGAUGACGGCCUUCGGGUUGUAAACCGCUUUUAUUGGGGAGCAAGCGUGAGUGAGUGUACCUUUUGAAUAAGCACCGGCUAACUACGUGCCAGCAGCCGCGGUAAUACGUAGGGUGCAAGCGUUGUCCGGAAUUAUUGGGCGUAAAGAGCUCGUAGGCGGUUUGUCGCGUCUGGUGUGAAAGUCCAUCGCUUAACGGUGGAUUGGCGCUGGGUACGGGCAGGCUAGAGUGUAGUAGGGGAGACUGGAAUUCUCGGUGUAACGGUGGAAUGUGUA
Molecule: ribosomal RNA, 519 nt
Filed under: Alloscardovia omnicolens
Lineage: Bacteria; Bacillati; Actinomycetota; Actinomycetes; Bifidobacteriales; Bifidobacteriaceae
Description: bacterial SSU rRNA
Rfam family: Bacterial small subunit ribosomal RNA
Source: RNAcentral